AUACGUAGGGGGCGAGCGUUGUCCGGAAUGAUUGGGCGUAAAGGGCGCGUAGGCGGCCCGGUAAGUCUGGAGUGAAAGUCCUGUUUUUAAGAUGGGAAUUGCUUUGGAUACUGUCGGGCUUGAGUGCAGGAGAGGUAAGUGGAAUCCCCAGUGUAGCGGUGAAAUGCGUAGAGAUUGGGAGGAACACCAGUGGCGAAGGCGAAUUACUGGACUGUAACUGACGCUGAGGCGCGAAAGGGUGGGGAGCAAACAGGAUUAGAUACCCUGGUAGUCCACACGGUAAACGAUGAAUGCUAGGUGUAGGGGGUAUCGACCCCUUCUGUGCCGCAGUCAACACAAUAAGCAUUCCGCCUGGGGAGUACGGCCGCAAGGUUGAAACUCAAAGGAAUUGACGGGG
RNAcentral lists this ribosomal RNA (397 nucleotides) under uncultured bacterium. RNAcentral describes it as "partial 16S ribosomal RNA". It matches the Rfam family "Bacterial small subunit ribosomal RNA", at positions 523 to 918 of the family's 1533-position model. The record is from RNAcentral.